Molecule: transfer RNA, 61 nt
Filed under: Cacopsylla jukyungi
Lineage: Eukaryota; Metazoa; Arthropoda; Insecta; Hemiptera; Psyllidae
Description: tRNA-Glu
Source: RNAcentral
CUUUUGUAGUUUAUUAUUAAAAUAUCACCUUUUCAAUGUGAAGAAGCCUUUCCCAAAAGUU